GAUGAACGCUAGCGGCAGGCUUAACACAUGCAAGUCGAGGGGCAACACGGGUAGCAAUACCUGGUGGCGACCGGCGCAAGGGUGCGUAACGCGUGAGCAACAUGCCCUAUACAGGGGGAUAAUCCAGGGAAACUUGGUCUAAUAUCCCAUAGUAUUUAGAGGUGGCAUCACCACUAAAUUAAAGCUUCGGUGGUAUAGGAUUGGCUCGCGUGACAUUAGCUGGAUGGUGGGGUAACGGCUCACCAUGGCGAUGAUGUCUAGGGGUUCUGAGAGGAAGACCCCCCAACUGGGACUGAGACACGGCCCAGACUCCUACGGGAGGCAGCAGUGAGGAAUAUUGGACAAUGGAUGGAAAUCUGAUCCAGCCAUGCCGCGUGCAGGAAGACGGCCCUAUGGGUUGUAAACUUCUUUUGGAUGGGGACGAAAAAACGGGAUUUAUCCUGGACUGACGGUACCAUCAGAAUAAGCACCGGCUAACUCCGUAGCCAGCAGCCGACGG
This 499-nucleotide ribosomal RNA is filed under the name uncultured bacterium. RNAcentral describes it as "bacterial SSU rRNA". It matches the Rfam family "Bacterial small subunit ribosomal RNA", at positions 28 to 520 of the family's 1533-position model. The record is from RNAcentral.